RNAcentral lists this ribosomal RNA (497 nucleotides) under uncultured bacterium. RNAcentral's name for it is "partial 16S ribosomal RNA". It matches the Rfam family "Bacterial small subunit ribosomal RNA", at positions 28 to 507 of the family's 1533-position model. The record is from RNAcentral.
GAUGAACGCUAGCGGCGUGCCUAAUACAUGCAAGUCGAGCGAACAGAUAAGGAGCUUGCUCCUUUGACGUUAGCGGCGGACGGGUGAGUAACACGUGGGUAACCUACCUAUAAGACUGGGAUAACUUCGGGAAACCGGAGCUAAUACCGGAUAAUAUUUCGAACCGCAUGGUUCGAUAGUGAAAGAUGGUUUUGCUAUCACUUAUAGAUGGACCCGCGCCGUAUUAGCUAGUUGGUAAGGUAACGGCUUACCAAGGCGACGAUACGUAGCCGACCUGAGAGGGGGAUCGGCCACACUGGAACUGAGACACGGUCCAGACUCCUACGGGAGGCAGCAGUAGGGAAUCUUCCGCAAUGGGCGAAAGCCUGACGGAGCAACGCCGCGUGAGUGAUGAAGGUCUUCGGAUCGUAAAACUCUGUUAUUAGGGAAGAACAUACGUGUAAGUAACUGUGCACGUCUUGACGGUACCUAAUCAGAAAGCCACGGCUAACUACGUG